This 465-nucleotide ribosomal RNA is filed under the name Vreelandella stevensii. Its description in RNAcentral is "partial 16S ribosomal RNA". It matches the Rfam family "Bacterial small subunit ribosomal RNA", at positions 338 to 795 of the family's 1533-position model. The record is from RNAcentral. Lineage: Bacteria; Pseudomonadati; Pseudomonadota; Gammaproteobacteria; Oceanospirillales; Halomonadaceae.
CCUACGGGUGGCUGCAGUGGGGAAUAUUGGACAAUGGGGGCAACCCUGAUCCAGCCAUGCCGCGUGUGUGAAGAAGGCCCUCGGGUUGUAAAGCACUUUCAGUGAGGAAGAACGCCUGGUGGUUAAUACCCAUCAGGAAAGACAUCACUCACAGAAGAAGCACCGGCUAACUCCGUGCCAGCAGCCGCGGUAAUACGGAGGGUGCGAGCGUUAAUCGGAAUUACUGGGCGUAAAGCGCGCGUAGGUGGCUUGAUAAGCCGGUUGUGAAAGCCCCGGGCUCAACCUGGGAACGGCAUCCGGAACUGUCAAGCUAGAGUGCAGGAGAGGAAGGUAGAAUUCCCGGUGUAGCGGUGAAAUGCGUAGAGAUCGGGAGGAAUACCAGUGGCGAAGGCGGCCUUCUGGACUGAAACUGACACUGAGGUGCGAAAGCGUGGGUAGCAAACAGGAUUAGAUACCCCGGUAGUC